AAAACUAAAACUAAACUAAAGUAUUAAAUUACUAUUUUAAAAAAUUAAAA
Molecule: transfer RNA, 50 nt
Filed under: Xysticus tenebrosus
Lineage: Eukaryota; Metazoa; Arthropoda; Arachnida; Araneae; Thomisidae
Description: tRNA-Leu
Source: RNAcentral